UACAACUAAUGAUUUGACAGUUGGAAUGAAAGCCGUCAUGUUGGCUGAAACAACUGGUUUAAUACUCCUAUAUGCGUUUGGUUUUAACAGAAACUAAGGGUGUAAAGCUAGGUGAAGUCGGCUGAACAAUGCCUAAGUGAAAUGCGCAUUUCAUAAGGUAAAGGAUAGGUCGGAACGCUAUAAA
This is a non-coding RNA of Enterococcus termitis, 184 nucleotides long. Lineage: Bacteria; Bacillati; Bacillota; Bacilli; Lactobacillales; Enterococcaceae. The record is from Rfam.